UACGUAGGGUGCGAGCGUUAAUCGGAAUUACUGGGCGUAAAGCGUGCGCAGGCGGUUUUCCAAGACAGAUGUGAAAUCCCCGGGCUCAACCUGGGAAUGGCAUUUGUGACUGGAAGGCUAGAGUGUGUCAGAGGGGGGUAGAAUUCCGACGUGUAGCAGUGAAAUGCGUAGAGAUGUGGAGGAAUACCGAUGGCGAAGGCAGCCCCCUGGGAUAACACUGACGCUCAUGCACGAAAGCGUGGGGAGCAAACAGG
This 254-nucleotide ribosomal RNA is filed under the name uncultured bacterium. Its description in RNAcentral is "partial 16S ribosomal RNA". It matches the Rfam family "Bacterial small subunit ribosomal RNA", at positions 524 to 776 of the family's 1533-position model. The record is from RNAcentral.